Molecule: ribosomal RNA, 498 nt
Filed under: uncultured bacterium
Lineage: Bacteria
Description: partial 16S ribosomal RNA
Rfam family: Bacterial small subunit ribosomal RNA
Source: RNAcentral
AUUGAACGCUGGCGGCAUGCCUUACACAUGCAAGUCGAACGGUAACGCGGGGCAACCUGGCGACGAGUGGCGAACGGGUGAGUAAAGUAUCGGAACGUGCCCAGUAGUGUGGGAUAGCCCGGCGAAAGCCGGAUUAAUACCGCAUAAGACCUGAGGGUGAAAGCGGGGGAUCGCAAGACCUCGCGCUGUUGGAGCGGCCGAUAUCAGAUUAGGUAGUUGGUGGGGUAAAGGCCUACCAAGCCGACGAUCUGUAGCUGGUCUGAGAGGACGACCAGCCACACUGGGACUGAGACACGGCCCAGACUCCUACGGGAGGCAGCAGUGGGGAAUUUUGGACAAUGGGCGAAAGCCUGAUCCAGCCAUGCCGCGUGCGGGAAGAAGGCCUUCGGGUUGUAAACCGCUUUUGUCGGGGAAGAAAUCUUCUGGGUUAAUACCCUGGGGGGAUGACGGUACCCGAAGAAUAAGCACCGGCUAACUACGUGCCAGCCGCCGCCGUAA